AGAGAGAGAGAAAAGCUUCGACCAAUCGGGUUCAAGCGCAGGUGACUCCUUGAUUAACAAGAUGACUUUGACGAAUCACUCCUGCCCACACUCAAAACCCCCCGCUCCCCCCCACCCCCCCCCCCCCCCGCCCAACAAACAGUCAAUCUCUCUCUCUCUCUCUCGGGUCAGAAAAAGAAGUGAUUUUUCACAUACCCUUUUAUCCAUUUUGCGGCAGGGGAAAGCAUGUGAGAGAAAAAGAACAGGGGGGUCGCCCGAUCUUGGGGAGGAAAAGACAUUGAUUACUCGACUGCAGAUGAAUGAAUCGGGAUGAUACAGAGAGAGAGUGUGUGUACGAGUCAGCUGGAUCUUUGCAUUCUUGCUUCCCCUCUAUUCCCACGAAUGGAUCAUCGGAGUCGAAGCGAUUUAGAAGUUAGAAGUAGAACUCAUUUUGUUUGCAGCAUUAUUAUGCAGAAGUUCGCAGAUGAAUAUUGCACUGUACUUUCAGAUAUUUCUUAACUCUUGUGAUCUCUUUCCAAUGCCUGGAGCUCGUAUUACUAGUAAAUUCACUCGACAUACCUGAAACAUGUGUAAUUAUUCCGCAUCGAUUUGUGGCAUAGAUUGAAGUAACUACAGUGUUGGAAUACUCUGCUUGAUUAGUAG
This 642-nucleotide long non-coding RNA is filed under the name Eucalyptus grandis. RNAcentral describes it as "long non-coding RNA (EGRA_LNC001324)". Lineage: Eukaryota; Viridiplantae; Streptophyta; Magnoliopsida; Myrtales; Myrtaceae. The record is from RNAcentral.